UCUCCGUAGGUGAACCUGCGGAAGGAUCAUUACAGAGUUCAUGCCCUCACGGGUAGAUCUCCCACCCUUGAAUAUUUAUACCUUAGUUGCUUUGGCAGGCCGUGGAAACACCAUGGGCUCCGGCUUAUGCGUGCCUGCCAGAGGAAACAAACUCUGUUUUUAGUGAUGUCUGGGUACUAUAUAAUAGUUAAAACUUUCAACAACGGAUCUCUUGGUUCUG
RNAcentral lists this unclassified non-coding RNA (220 nucleotides) under plant metagenome. Its description in RNAcentral is "partial contains small subunit ribosomal RNA, internal transcribed spacer 1, and 5.8S ribosomal RNA". The record is from RNAcentral.